Choloepus hoffmanni (Hoffmann's two-fingered sloth) is the source of this 104-nucleotide small nuclear RNA. NCBI's taxonomy places the organism in Eukaryota, Metazoa, Chordata, Mammalia, Pilosa, Megalonychidae. The record is from Ensembl.
GUGCUCACUUCGGCAACACAUAUACUACAAUUGGAACAAUACAGAGAGUGGUAUGGCCCUUGUGCAAGUUUGACAUGUAAAUUUGUAAAACAUUUCAUAUUUCU